UCGAAGCUUGAAGUUGUAUGUUUGGAACAAACAAAUAUGAGAAAAAUGGAUUGAGAUUUGUCAUCUUGUCCCACAUAGGUGGAUAGACAAAACUUAAAGUGGUAUAUAAGGAGGAGCACUCCUUGAAGGCAAACACUAGUGGGGACCAAAGGGUGCACCGCACCUGCACAUAUGCGCGCGUGAUGUGGGCUAUAAGCCCAAUGUGGUGCGCUUUGAACUUCGCACACCGCCUUUGUAUUUUUGUCCAUGAGCGCGUGGUCAGAUACAUGGCGGGUCCGCUUAUGGCGCACCCUUGGGUAGCGUAGGCGGAUGCCUUGGCAUGACGCAUGGCACACGUCAUUGGCUAUGGCGAAGACUGCAAGUGGCACGCAAGUAUGGAUGGUGCAUAACCAGGUGGCAUCCUGGUAUGCAUAGUGGCAUCCAAUUAGCGCAUGGCGCAAGAAGGUGUGUCUCCGCGGAAGCGUAGUGCAGGCUCAACUAAGGCGCGCCUGCAUGCGCGUUCGACUGGUUAAACCAGUCUACUUACUAGAGAGUUAAUGUUAGACGGUUUCCACUAGUGCCAUAAGUUGAAUGGCAUUUCUUUUUACUACCACUUAAUAUCCAUUAAGUUAGAGUUUAACCCUUUUUUAUUACAAGAUUAAUUAUCUUGUUAAUUACAAGAUUAAUGAUCUUGUUAAUUACAAGAUUAAUGAUCUUGUUUAUGUCACCAUUAAGAGGGUUGAAUGAGUCUAUGCAUCUAAUUAUAAAAUGAAUAUGGUUUAUUCAUUUGUGUAGAAGAAGAAAAAUAGACACAACAAAUUGGUCUUUUGUUCCUUGAAAAUUUAGAGAGGAGCACUCUCUAAAUUAUUCUUUUCUCAACUUCAUAUUUUCCUAAUUGUGUGAACACCAAAUUAUACCCGGUGCUAUCUCGGGCAUGAGAGUCAUCUCCGGCAGUACACAUACUGUUCCGGUUGUUGUACCCUGGGAGACAGACCGUCUGAGAGGAGGCGCGGAAUCUGUUUUAAGGGAAGCGUGUUGAACACGUGCCUCAACCAAAAACCGUCAACAAUUUUGCUUGUCUUGUAGCGGAGUUUUGAUCUCGUAGAUGCGGUUGAAGUUUUCCAAAGACAUUGGCUUUGAAUCAAGAUUGGUACAAUUAUAUUGUAUUUUAUAUUCGUUUAUUUAAUUUUUGUAACCGAUAUUGUACUAGUCGAAUUUCCCACAAAUAACGAGAGUCUCGUUAUUAUAUAUUUUGUAAUACAUUUUAUAAAAAGUGAACCUAGUUCCUACACAAUGUCUAUAUCUACUGAACAGGGGAUGCCACCUGAAAUUCUCAUCAUGUUAGUUAGUGAAAUUUGCAAUCUCUAAGUUUUUUUUCAUGUUGGGUGUAACUUUGGGUGAAGCUAUGGAAAAGAGAAGUUGAGCCUGGAAAGCCAGGUAAAACUAGUCGUUAGUAUCGUAGUUAUUAAAGGCCUUAGGCGCACUCAAGGCGAAUAGGCCUCGUCUGGGGUCUAGGCGCAAGGAGCAAAAAAAGCGCGGGCCUGAGAAAAAAAAAAAAAGCAUACCACAAAGAAAACUUAAAAUAUUUUUAUAUAAUAGAAAAUUAAUACUAUUCUUCAAAUAAAAUAAAGUAAAGCUAUUAUAUAACAUUUAAUAUCGUCUAUUUAGUACCAAAAGUUGCAAAAUGCUAGUUUAUUAGUGUAGAAAAGUAGUUUCGUUAGACAAAAGUAGAAAUCUAGCUAGAAUCCUGCCAGAAUUUAAAGAAUUUGGCCGAAAACUCUCAAGAAUCUAGGAAUUUCGCCAGAAUUUGUGCAUGAACCAUCACUUGGAGAAUUAAAGCGCAAUUGCCUCGCCUAGCUAGGAAAUUGGGCCUAGGCGCAAGAGGCGAUGGCUUUUAAGAACUAUGUGCAGGCCUGCUGGAAUAUUGUUGAUUUCAUAACAUGUUGGCAGUUCAUAGGGUGCAACGAAUAGGUCACAAGAAUUAGAUGAUGCUGUCCUUAGGAGAUUGGUGCGGAUCUGAAGAAAAUUGUGAAACAGACUAAGGGAUGAUAUGGUCCAAGAGUAUUCAGAUACACCUUUAAGACAUCUUCCAAUUCAUGUGCUUGUGGCAUUCAUGGUUGUAAAUCCCGACUAGCGCCUAGCAAUUCUUACAACACUGGUGGCAUCUAAAGUCUCUUUUCUACUUGGUUACCAUCUUGGGGCAGUAAAUGAACUACUUGAAAGUAUGUCUACCCAUAUUCUUGGUUUAGAUGAGAUUAACACGGCAGAAGUAUAAAUGAGGGUCUGGUAGUACGUGUCUUGGUUGCGCCUUUGUUGGGUCUCUGUUCAAUGGUUGGAUUGCUGAUGAAUCUGGGCGCGACAAAACUUUUCGGUGUUGUGUUUAGCCUAAGGUCAAUAAUGCUUCAAAGGGUCUUCACUACGAGGGUGUUAAAGUUAAAACUAAGCUUUGGCUACGUAUCGAAGA
Helianthus annuus (common sunflower) is the source of this 2443-nucleotide long non-coding RNA. RefSeq lists it as uncharacterized. The transcript is spliced from 8 exons. Lineage: Eukaryota; Viridiplantae; Streptophyta; Magnoliopsida; Asterales; Asteraceae. The record is from RefSeq and is a predicted model, not a curated record.